Molecule: ribosomal RNA, 468 nt
Filed under: uncultured bacterium
Lineage: Bacteria
Description: partial 16S ribosomal RNA
Rfam family: Bacterial small subunit ribosomal RNA
Source: RNAcentral
GACGAACGCUGGCGGCGUGCUUAACACAUGCAAGUCGAACGGAAAGGCCCUGCUUUUGUGGGGUGCUCGAGUGGCGAACGGGUGAGUAACACGUGAGUAACCUGCCCUUGACUUUGGGAUAACUUCAGGAAACUGGGGCUAAUACCGGAUAGGAGCUCCUGCUGCAUGGUGGGGGUUGGAAAGUUUCGGCGGUUGGGGAUGGACUCGCGGCUUAUCCGCUUGUUGGUCGGGUAGUGGCUGACCAAGGGUUUGACGGGUAGCCGGCCUGGGAGGGUGACCGGGCUCAUGGGGACUGCGGGACGGACCAGACGGCUACGUGCGGCAGCAGGGGAGAGUAUUACACAGUAGGGGGGCGUGUGAUGCGGCAACCCCGCGUGCGGGAAGACGGGCUUCGGGUUGUGAACCGCUUUCGACUGUGACGAGGCGUGAGUGACGGUAAUGGGUAAAGAAGCACCGGCUAACUACGUG